UAAUGAUGAUGAGAGGUUAAGUGUGC
RNAcentral lists this non-coding RNA (26 nucleotides) under Mus musculus (house mouse). The record is from RNAcentral. Lineage: Eukaryota; Metazoa; Chordata; Mammalia; Rodentia; Muridae.